Long non-coding RNA from Tribolium castaneum (red flour beetle), 1527 nucleotides. RefSeq lists it as uncharacterized. Lineage: Eukaryota; Metazoa; Arthropoda; Insecta; Coleoptera; Tenebrionidae. The record is from RefSeq and is a predicted model, not a curated record. The transcript is spliced from 3 exons.
UCUUGACAAUUAUUUGACGUAUAACCCCUCAAGAUUGUUAAAUUGUUUUUAGCUGGAGGAGAACUCCAUUGGUAUCCUUAAAAAUUUAAGUCCAGUGUUGCCAACAGACUCAGUAUUUCUGGAUCAGUCUGUAUAUCCAAGUAAACACUGACAAUACACCCAAGUUUCACGCGCAGAAUUUUGAACCCUAACUCCAAAUGAUGCAAAAGUGUUGGUCACAGGUGCCCAAACAACUUUCGGCUGAGUUCGAUUGGUCCAAAUUAUUUAUAAUUGGCUGCUUUCGGAUUGAAAUUUAUUCAAAAGCACAAUUAUGUUUCCGAUAAAUAACUUGUUCAGGAGAUAACCAAUUUUGCCAUGUCGUGAAUUUUUUCCCUUGGUGAUAUGUGUUUGGAAAGGAAGAGCAGUCGCACGCGCUACCUCGGUUGGUUUCAGUCAAAUCACAGGGUAUUCCCCUCGAUAAUGGUCCCUGAUUAUGGAAUUUUUUGUCCCGAUUUGACGUGCAACUGGAUUCGUUUUUGUCCAGUUGAUGAUGAGAGUGAUACAGUGUGUUUAUCGUAACGGUUGACUUGGGUACGUCAGUUAAACACACUGAUUUUCUGGAAUGCCGACAACAGUUUCCCGGUAGCUGUCAUUUCGCGAAAUUCGACGAUUUUUUCCGAAAUCAAAAGUUCCCAGCAAUUAAACCGGCGGACAAACACCGUAAUUUAACGACUCCUUAAUUUAGCCACUCGAACAAAGUGUUUGUACACGGUGUGGCAAUGUCAAUAAAAUUAAUUGCCAACCUCCAAUUCUACCCGAAUAAAUAUCGACUUAAACGAUUGGCCGGGGCACUUUGACCGUUAAUUAAGAAGCGGCACACACCAUUCCGGACAAAUAUGGUGUCUUAAUGGAUUUUCAACGGACCUAUCAUGCCAUAUUGACGUCUCUCGGAUGCCUCGCAUGAAUUUUAUGACGGAUGACGAUGGAAGUUUAAUUCGGACGGAAAAAUACAUAUCAUGGGCCGAUGGACGGACGGAUGAUGCCUGAUGGAUGCGAGGAUUCAUUUACGACUACAAUGCUUUGGUGCCUUUCCAUCGCAGCCAAGCCACACAAUAAACGUGUUCGAUGGAUAAACCGAUUCCAAAUAUUGCCAACAUUGAUUAAUGGCCCCCACUACGGCUAAAGGGAAAUUAUUUUACUGUUUUUAGCGACUUUUGUAAUCCAAUUUUAAAUCGAAAAAUGAAAUUGAGUCUUUUAAAUAAUUAGAAUUUAAGACAACGUAACACUUUGUUGAAAAAAAAAUUUGAUAUUUUUUUAUUAAAAUUGUAAACCAAUAUUCAUAAUAUUUUAAAAACGUGUACGGGAAAGAUGCACUGUGAUGAUACGAAGAGAAUGCGUCCAAGAAACGAAAAAAAAAUUUAGUAGUAACCAAACCCGAAUAUUCAUUUUACUUUGUCUUUGAAUGCCGAGAAUCUCCAACAAUCAAGAGCGGGGUAACAGGAAGAGGGGGCAAAAUAAACCUCGAUAUAUAUAUAUAUAUAUAUUCGU